RNAcentral lists this ribosomal RNA (253 nucleotides) under uncultured bacterium. RNAcentral describes it as "partial 16S ribosomal RNA". It matches the Rfam family "Bacterial small subunit ribosomal RNA", at positions 524 to 776 of the family's 1533-position model. The record is from RNAcentral.
UACGAAGGGGGCUAGCGUUGUUCGGAAUCACUGGGCGUAAAGCGCACGUAGGCGGCUGUGCCAGUCAGGGGUGAAAUCCCGGAGCUCAACUUCGGAACUGCCUCUGAUACAGCACGUCUUGAGUCCGGAAGAGGUGGGUGGAAUUCCUAGUGUAGAGGUGAAAUUCGUAGAUAUUAGGAAGAACACCGGUGGCGAAGGCGGCCCACUGGUCCGGUACUGACGCUGAGGUGCGAAAGCGUGGGGAGCAAACAGG